RNAcentral lists this non-coding RNA (21 nucleotides) under Arabidopsis thaliana (thale cress). Lineage: Eukaryota; Viridiplantae; Streptophyta; Magnoliopsida; Brassicales; Brassicaceae. The record is from RNAcentral.
CGUGGACCGACGCGGAUUACG